Long non-coding RNA from Acinonyx jubatus (cheetah), 3268 nucleotides. RefSeq lists it as uncharacterized. Lineage: Eukaryota; Metazoa; Chordata; Mammalia; Carnivora; Felidae. The record is from RefSeq and is a predicted model, not a curated record. The transcript has 4 exons.
ACAUCCCUAUCAGUGAAUCUACCCCAGUGAGUGCCUUAGCUCACCUCCUUAGCCUGGUAGCCUGAGAAUCCAUUCCCACAAAUGUUCAAAUAGGAUUAAUCUGUUAGAUACCAGUUACAUCUGAGAACUUUUAUUGACACGUGAGCUAUUUCCUCAUGGUUCAGACUUAGCCGUGGGGCAUACUGUGACUGCACCCUACGUAUGGGCUGAAUGGCAAGCGGGAUGUUGCACAGGAUCUCAAGGACAAUAUGAAUUGCAUUACAAGGGACCAAGCCCACACGGGAUAAUGACACAUUCCUCUAGCGAUGGGACACCAGUCCCUUAGACACGGGGCAGCUACUUGAACCACUAUGGGGGUGCUCAGAGGGGCUGAUGGCAUCCCGACUCUCAGCUUCGACUGAGGCCGAGCAGACGUCCCAGUUCCAGGUUUCCGGGCCACACUCCUCCAACCACGGCCAUACCUUUCACACGAGAAACACAGAGAGGCUGGGAAUUCAGUGGACUUUGGGAUUCUGUAACCCGCACCGAUAAACUUGUGUUUAAUCUUCACCACGAGGAACCCUUGCAGGUACGGAAGGAAGGGAAUUUUUAGGGCUGUCGGGGGGAGUUCUGUGCGUGUCGUGCUGUGACUGGAGCUGAGAGGUAAGGAACUAAAGUUGCCAUUGUUUUCUCUGCGCGCUCCGGGAUCACCACACCACAAUCUUCAGAGCCGUCCUUACCGCCGUGACAGUACAGCAGCCACGCCGGCUCCUCAGGGCUUCCCGCAGGUGGCCCUUCAUCCCGGUUCACUGCGGGUGACAGCCUGAUGAAGGAAGAGGUCCCCGCAGACCGCGGGUGCUACGUACGCGCCCAGUUCCCAUUGGCAGGGAGCCCGAGCCCUGCCCUGGGGCCCAAGGGCGCGACCACACCCAUCCCCACAUCCCCACUUGGCGGGCCCCUCUUCUGAGACCACUCCCAGGUCCGACUCUGUAGCAGUCGGGCAGGAGAAGGAGACGAGAAAUAGACACGGUUUCUCAGCAGACGAAAUCGAAUACGAGCAUUUGGUGGCUCAGGGCCCGGAGGGCUGAAGAAACAGAUCGUGUGGCAGAAAGCUGCCGUCCCUAAGGUGAGGGGAAGCGGGAAGAGGUCGGGCUGAGCAGACACCUAGACGCCAGGAUGAGGGGCCUGGAAGAGGCAGAGCCUGGAUCUCUGAGGAGGGGCUGCCACAAUUUCUCAGGGAAGGCGGAAGCAACCUUAUCCACCACGAGGGGAUAUGGGGCAGGAGAUGAUUUCUGAGGACCAUCUUCCAGGAACCUCUGUGUGCCCAACGCGGGGCUGGAACUCGCAACCCCGAGACACAGAGUUGCGUGCUCUAGCCAUUGAAGACUUGGGGAGGUGGAGUAGCUUUCUAUCACAAUAACGCAAACAACGCGUAGAUAUCCACGAGCGCCGCUCUCUGAUCUCCUGAGAAAUCAAAGCCUCCAGGACAUGCUGAGUGUGCCACACGUUCCCCGGGGACCUCCAAGUGAGGGAGCGAGCCGCGCCGUAGAGCACAGCCCCACAGAAGGGGAUCUGGCUUGAGCCCGACGUCCUUGAUCCACACCCCGCCUGGGCCACUUGCCAGCUAGUGGUGCGGAAGAAGCCAUGAAUGGGGAUCACGCCUCGAACAGGCUGCUAGGGCUGCGGGAUGGCACAGCCGUGAAUGGGGAUCACGCCCGAGGCACACCGCAAGCUCGCAAUGCCAUGACCGCAAACGAUGUCCUCUGGCCUCUGAGAGUUGCACCCUGGGAAGGUCCACAGGGCCAGUCCUGUCUUCGACAGGCCUGCCGAUUCUCCACCAAGGUGGGCCGUGUCUUCAAGUCGAGGUUGCUGACGCGUGUCCCGCUGGGCCUCUGGGGGUCCUGGGCCGGAAGCCUGGGGUGAGCUACCCUUCCAGGGAGGGUGGAUGUGCUCGGCCGGCCCGGAGCCCAGCAGUACCACGACGAUGCAGGGGGAGCAGUUCCCCUCUCAGCCUGCAGCUAGGGGUGGGGGGAAGGCAGCCCCUCCCUGUUCGCGGCUGCUAGGACUGGAGUCAGGGGGGCGUUCGUCCCCGCUCCCUCAGACCCACUUCUCCUUAUAGCACCAUCCUGCCUUUGUCCCGCGGGGGGUCACCCUUCACCAACACGGGUUUUAGGUGGGGUCUCGGUUCUGCCCUCUGACCUUCUGAAAGCCAUUUGCUCCUGGCACCUGGGAACCCCACCCCGGGAGCUCCUCCCCACCCCGGGAGCUCCUCCCCACGGCCCUAGCGCAUCCCUGCUCACCCACCCCUGACUUUGCAUUUGCUCUGCGUCCUCUUCCCCGGGAUUUCUCUUGCUUACCCGCGCGCCACCUAUGCGUGUUUCUCAUUCCGUAUUCGCUGGUCUUUCUCCCAAACUGGACUGGCAUCCCUGGAGGGCAGGGGCUGGCUGUCAGAGUGGCACCGCCCCCAGCCCCCAGCCUAGGCAGCCCCGCAUCAUGUGACCGGCGCCCAGGGCCACAGCCAUUGGCCCAGCGGGUCAACCUACCAGCCCGGGUCACCGAGGACUUGGCAACAGGCUCAUCAAUGCCACCCCGAGUCUCCUUACUGUCAUCACACGUGGGAGGAGGCCUUCGUGCCCACUAUACGCAACCCAGAAGUCGCCAAUUGACAGUUUAAUACCCUUGGUGGUAUAAAAAUGUGUAACUUUGGGGCGCCUGGCUGGCUCAGUCUGUAGAGCAUGUGACUCCUGACCUCAGGGUUUGAAGUUGGAGCCCCAAGGGGGGGUGUGUAGAGAUGACUUAAAAACAAAAACUUUAGGGGCGCCUGGGUGGCUCAUUCGGGUAAGCCUCCGACUUGGGUUCAGGUCAUGAUCUCACGGUUUGUGAGUUCUAGCCCCACAUGGGGCUCUGUGCUGUCAGCAUAGAGUCUGGUUUGGAUCCUCUUGACUCCCUCUCUCUGCCCCUCCCCCACUCGCGUUCUCCCUCUCUCUCAAAAAUAAACAAACAUGGAAAAUGAUUAAAAAUUGGGGUGCCUGGGUGGCUCGGUCGGUGAAGCGACCGACUUCGGCUCAGGUCACCAUCUCACUCACGAUUCGUGGGUUCGACCCGUGUGGGGCUCUGGGCUGACAGCUCCGAGCGUGGAGCCUGCUUCAGAUUGUGUGUCUCCCUCUCUCUCUCUGCCCCUCCCCUGCUUGUUCUCUGUCUCUGUCUCUCAGAAAUAAAUCGCGUUAAAAUUUUUCAAGGAAAAUAAGUAAUUAAAAAUAAAAGUAAAAUAAAAACUUAAAAAAAAAAA